Molecule: long non-coding RNA, 487 nt
Organism: Salvia miltiorrhiza (redroot sage)
Lineage: Eukaryota; Viridiplantae; Streptophyta; Magnoliopsida; Lamiales; Lamiaceae
Exons: 3
Source: RefSeq, a predicted model, not a curated record
GCUGCACACACACUAAAACAUAUUAGAAACACACACACACUUCACGUUAACACCAUUUCUUUGGUGUUCAAGCUUUUGACCUCCGAUUUGAGCACCGAGACGAGCGCCGAUCAUCUUUUCGAUCACGUAUCUAAGUAGGUCCUUUUGGGAAGUAACGACUUGAGGGAGAGAGUGACGUUACUCAUUGAUACAGAGACACAACGAGGUUGAGCUGAUGUGAUGAUGGUGCUGCAAUGAGCGGAGUCUCCAGGGUUGUUAAUAAAUAGUUAACAUGUCUAGAAUAUGUCUUCAUACAUAUGUCUAGCUACUUUCCGCUGCAAGAUGUUGUUGAUGUUAUAGUAUGUUAUGUCAUACUUUGAGUCUUAAGAGAAUGGUUGCAUAUGAUGUAUAACUUGAUUAAUGAUAUUAAUUAACUUUUAUGCAGUCUUUCAUAGACUGUUUUCAAUUGAGUAUUAAUGAAUAAAAAUGACGAGUUUUAUUAAGAUGA